UACGUAGGGUGCGAGCGUUGUCCGGAAUUAUUGGGCGUAAAGAGCUUGUAGGCGGUCUGUCGCGUCUGCUGUGAAAAUCCGGGGCUCAACCCCGGACUUGCAGUGGGUACGGGCAGACUAGAGUGUGGUAGGGGGGACUGGAAUUCCUGGUGUAGCGGUGAAAUGCGCAGAUAUCAGGAGGAACACCGAUGGCGAAGGCAGGUCUCUGGGCCACUACUGACGCUGAGAAGCGAAAGCAUGGGGAGCGAACAGG
Molecule: ribosomal RNA, 253 nt
Filed under: uncultured bacterium
Lineage: Bacteria
Description: partial 16S ribosomal RNA
Rfam family: Bacterial small subunit ribosomal RNA
Source: RNAcentral